CCUACGGGGUGCAGCAGUCGAGAAUCAUUCACAAUGGGGGAAACCCUGAUGGUGCGACGCCGCGUGGGGGAAUGAAGGUCUUCGGAUUGUAAACCCCUGUCAUGUGGGAGCAAAUUAAAAAGAUAGUACCACAAGAGGAAGAGACGGCUAACUCUGUGCCAGCAGCCGCGGUAAUACAGAGGUCUCAAGCGUUGUUCGGAAUCACUGGGCGUAAAGCGUGCGUAGGCUGUUUCGUAAGUCGUGUGUGAAAGGCGCGGGCUCAACCCGCGGACGGCACAUGAUACUGCGAGACUAGAGUAAGGGAGAGGGAACCGGAAUUCUCGGUGUAGCAGUGAAAUGCGUAGAUAUCGAGAGGAACACUCGUGGCGAAGGCGGGUUCCUGGACAUUAACUGACGCUGAGGCACGAAGGCCAGGGGAGCGAAAGGGAUUAGAUACCCGAGUAGUC
This 446-nucleotide ribosomal RNA is filed under the name uncultured bacterium. RNAcentral's name for it is "partial 16S ribosomal RNA". It matches the Rfam family "Bacterial small subunit ribosomal RNA", at positions 338 to 795 of the family's 1533-position model. The record is from RNAcentral.